UCCUCGCCCUCGUACUCAUAGUUCUUAAAAGAACUGCUCCCAGAACACUACUAGCCACAGCUUAAAACUCACAGGACCUGGCGCUGCUUCAUAUCCCUCUAAAGGAGCCUGUUCUGUAAUCCAUAAACCCCUAUCAACCUCACCACCUCUUGCUCACCCUAUUUACCGCCAUCUUCAGCAAAACAG
This 186-nucleotide ribosomal RNA is filed under the name Lissemys punctata andersoni. RNAcentral describes it as "partial 12S ribosomal RNA". Lineage: Eukaryota; Metazoa; Chordata; Testudines; Trionychidae. The record is from RNAcentral.